RNAcentral lists this ribosomal RNA (647 nucleotides) under uncultured bacterium. Its description in RNAcentral is "bacterial SSU rRNA". It matches the Rfam family "Bacterial small subunit ribosomal RNA", at positions 847 to 1503 of the family's 1533-position model. The record is from RNAcentral.
UACAGCGAAAGCGUUAAGUAUUCCACCUGGGGAGUACGCCGGCAACGGUGAAACUCAAAGGAAUUGACGGGGGCCCGCACAAGCGGAGGAACAUGUGGUUUAAUUCGAUGAUACGCGAGGAACCUUACCCGGGCUCAAACGACGGAUGGAUGUUUCUGAAAGGAGGCAGUCCUACGGGACAUCCGUCGAGGUGCUGCAUGGUUGUCGUCAGCUCGUGCCGUGAGGUGUCGGCUUAAGUGCCAUAACGAGCGCAACCCCCAUCGCCAGUUACCAGCAAGUAAAGUUGGGGACUCUGGCGAGACUGCCGGCGCAAGUUGUGAGGAAGGCGGGGAUGACGUCAAAUCAGCACGGCCCUUACGUCCGGGGCGACACACGUGUUACAAUGGCAGGUACAGAGAGAAGCGAUGCGGCGACGCAGAGCGGAACUUCAAAGCCUGUCUCAGUUCGGAUUGGAGUCUGCAACCCGACUCCAUGAAGCUGGAUUCGCUAGUAAUCGCGCAUCAGCCACGGCGCGGUGAAUACGUUCCCGGGCCUUGUACACACCGCCCGUCAAGCCAUGGAAGCCGGGAGUGCCUGAAGUGUGCAACCGCAAGGAGCGCCCUAAGGUAAAACCGGUGACUGGGGCUAAGUCGUAACAAGGUAACCGU